Molecule: ribosomal RNA, 423 nt
Filed under: uncultured Thermoprotei archaeon
Lineage: Archaea; Thermoproteati; Thermoproteota; Thermoprotei
Description: bacterial SSU rRNA
Rfam family: Archaeal small subunit ribosomal RNA
Source: RNAcentral
CCUACGGGAGGCAGCAGUCGCGAAAACUUUGCAAUACACGAAAGUGUGACAGGGCUAUCCCGAGUGCCAUCCGCUGAGGAAGGCUUUUACCCAGUCUAGAACGCUGGGGGAAUAAGGAGAGGGCAAGUCUGGUGUCAGCCGCCGCGGUAAUACCAGCUCUCCGAGUGGUGUGGAUGUUUAUUGGGCCUAAAGCAUCCGUAGCUGGCUAAGUUAGUCCCCUGUUAAAUCCAACGAAUUAAUCGUUGGAUCGCGGGGGAUACUGCUUGGCUAGGGGACGAGAGAGGCAGACGGUAUUUCCGGGGUAGGGGUGAAAUCCUAUAAUCCCGGGAAGACCACCAGUGGCGAAGGCUGUCUGCUAGAACGCGCCCGACGGUGAGGGAUGAAAGCUGGGGGAGCGAACCGGAUUAGAUACCCCCGUAGUCC